This is a long non-coding RNA of Alligator mississippiensis (American alligator), 913 nucleotides long. RefSeq lists it as uncharacterized. The transcript has 2 exons. NCBI's taxonomy places the organism in Eukaryota, Metazoa, Chordata, Crocodylia, Alligatoridae. The record is from RefSeq and is a predicted model, not a curated record.
GGCCAGUGGCAGAGUCACUUGCUGGUGUAGUCAGGCUUGGGGAUUGGGGACAGGGCCAGAAACCCAUGCCAGUCCUAAUGACAAACAGCUGGCUGGCUGCAACAGACCUAGUCAUUGCCUUGGCAGGGAUUACAGGCCACAGCUGUGCAGCAGCAGUGUUCACCAAGGGGAAAGGAGGAGCAGCUGGAGCCUUUAUGAAGCUCCUGGAACUGAGGCAUGGAAGGGAACAGAGUGCAGAGCGCAUGGGACAACGAACAGGUGCAAGCAUACAGGUGAACUCUGAGCUCAUUAUUUUAACAGCAACAAGGUAAAGAGGGAAGAAGUGAGCAAGCAAGUAAACAGAUCCAAAAAUCUACUUGAAAAUGAUAAAUCCAGAAAAAGAUCUCCUCUCAGAGCAUGAAUGCAGAAUAAAAUCUGCCUGGAGCUUCAUAACCAGUUUUCAAAUACUGAACCAAAAUGAGAGCACUCCUGCAGCUGGCUAUUCUUGAGCUGUGGUGAAGAAGUCCAGAUCCAUCCAUGGGGUUGGGCCCCAUCUGUGCUCCAAACACUUGGCCUCAGCCUGAAGCAGAAUGCUUUAUGGCUAAGUUCAGACAGUCAAAAAGCAGGAGGCUGAAUCAAUUCAAUUCAAUUCAAUCUUCACAGGUUAGUCUAAGCUGCAUAGAUUGAACUGAUGAGCAAGUGAACAGGCAUUAACUUUUGAUUCUGGAAAUGCAGCUGCAUGCCUACAGUGGCUCAGUCCAGAAAGCAGUUUAUGUGCACUGACCUUUUGUUGUGUUACAGAUUUGAACUGGUGUCCGAUCACUUACACCGGUUUAUAUGUCAUUUCUGGCCUUAGCCCAUGUGUCUGCAUAGUGCCUAAGAGGAAUGGCCAUCCUCAGUGCUGCCUCAACACAAAUAAUAAAAAAUAAUAAUU